CACGCCGUAAACGAUGGAUACUAGCUGUUCGGAGCAAUCUGAGUGGCUAAGCGAAAGUGAUAAGUAUCCCACCUGGGGAGUACGUUCGCAAGAAUGAAACUCAAAGGAAUUGACGGGGGCCCGCACAAGCGGUGGAGCAUGUGGUUUAAUUCGAUGAUACGCGAGGAACCUUACCAGGGCUUAAAUGUAGAUUGCAUGAUGUGGAAACACGUCUUUCUUCGGACUAUCUACAAGGUGC
Molecule: ribosomal RNA, 238 nt
Filed under: uncultured bacterium
Lineage: Bacteria
Description: partial 16S ribosomal RNA
Rfam family: Bacterial small subunit ribosomal RNA
Source: RNAcentral